CAACACAACACAAGCAUGGCCGCCGUAGCUCUCUUCUGGUCGGCUAUUUAACUACGCUCGACUCCCGCAAGUUCAAUUCAAUCGUGUUCAGUUCAUCAUCAAUCGAGGGAGCUGAAGCAGAGCACAGCUGCUCGGCGACCCAAAUCGGAGGACCCAUCGACACCACGCCGCCGGCCCCAGCCCCUGCCCCUGCCCCUUCUGGAUCAUCGCCAUGGUUGACGCCGACGACGAUACCUCCUCCUCCGGCUCCAACCACGUGGUGCUCACCGCCGACGAGAUCCGGUCCAUGUUCCCCGAGUAAGCCGGGCCAUCUGUGCAAAACCAAAACCUGAUCACCGGGCCAGAUCUGGAUGAGUUGGUGUUGGCGGCGGGGCAUGUGUACCUGUAUGAGCACGCGACCCUGGACGCCCUGCUGCGCGGCAACCGCUGGCUUGGCGCUGCCGAGUACCUGUCCAGGUCCCUGCUGCUCCACGACGACGACGACUCUGCAGGUCCAGCGCCCGCCGACGAGAUGCCGCGCGAGCACCCUGAGCUCAUCGUCCUCCUCCGCCGUCAGCACGCGCUGGAGCUGCUGGGUGACGGCAAGCGGGAGGCGGCGCGGCAGUACUACUACGACAAGAGCAUCUUCGCGCCGACACGCCUGGUCCACCGCACCCGCCACCUGGACGCCCUGCUCUCCGGCCUACGCGACAGCAUCAUCGCAGCAGCUGAUUCUGAUGGUGGCGAUCUGCUGCUGGACCUGCCUGCGGAGAGACGCACGACGUGACGUGCAGAGAUGUCCGGGACUACCUCAGGGUGUACUUUCCGGAGCUGGGCAGG
Panicum virgatum (switchgrass) is the source of this 819-nucleotide long non-coding RNA. RefSeq lists it as uncharacterized. The record is from RefSeq and is a predicted model, not a curated record. NCBI's taxonomy places the organism in Eukaryota, Viridiplantae, Streptophyta, Magnoliopsida, Poales, Poaceae. The transcript has 5 exons.